UUCCGGUUGAUCCUGCCGGACCCCACUGCUAUCGGGAUAGGACUAAGACAUGCUAGUCGUGUGCCUCAGCCAAAACGAGGCACGGCGCACAGCUCAGUAACACGUGGCUAACCUGCCCUUAGGACGAGAAUAACCCCGGGAAACUGGGGCUAAUGCUCGAUAGGUGAAGAACUCUGGAAUGAGUCUUCACUUAAAAGAGUCUACGUUAUGCUCGUAGAUUUCGCUUAAGGAUGGGGCCGCGACCGAUCAGGUUGUUGGUGAGGUAAUGGCUCACCAAGCCUUUUACCGGUGCGGGCCGUGAGAGCGGGAGCCCGGAGAUGGGCACUGAGACAAGGGCCCAGGCCCUACGGGGCGCAGCAGUCGCGAAAACUUUGCAAUACACGAAAGUGUGACAGGGCUAUCCCGAGUGCCAUCCGCUGAGGAAGGCUUUUACCCAGUCUAGAAAGCUGGGAGAAUAAGGAGAGGGCAAGUCUGGUGUCAGCCGCCGCGGUAAUACCAGCUCUCCGAGUGGUGUGGAUGUUUAUUGGGCCUAAAGCAUCCGUAGCUGGCUAAGUUAGUCCCCUGUUAAAUCCAACGAAUUAAUCGUUGGAUCGCGGGGGAUACUGCUUGGCUAGGGGACGAGAGAGGCAGACGGUAUUUCCGGGGUAGGGGUGAAAUCCUAUAAUCCCGGGAAGACCACCAGUGGCGAAGGCUGUCUGCUAGAACGCGCCCGACGGUGAGGGAUGANAGCUGGGGGAGCGAACCGGAUUAGAUACCCGGGUAGUCCCAGCUGUAAACGAUGCANGCUAGGUGUUUGGACGGCCACGUGCCCGUUCUAGUGCCGCAAGGAAANCUGUUAAGCC
RNAcentral lists this ribosomal RNA (842 nucleotides) under uncultured archaeon. RNAcentral describes it as "bacterial SSU rRNA". It matches the Rfam family "Archaeal small subunit ribosomal RNA", at positions 1 to 821 of the family's 1478-position model. The record is from RNAcentral.